CUCUGACCAAAGCAAGGACUUCAUCUACCGUGAGGGCGCGGGGCAAAGAGCCUCCAUUCAACCGCUGCCAGUGACGACUGAGUCCCCCUUCCACGCAACGGCCGGCAGGACCAGUGAGACUGAGGGGGAGGAGCGCCGUGGCGAGAGACUGGCGUUUAUAAUCAAACCUGUGGUCCCGCGAUCCUACUUGAGGGAAAACAGGCUAUCUCUUUAGCCCCGCCCCGCGCUUUGCAUUCUGGGAAGCGGAGUUCCAGCCUUUCUCUUUCCGCGGGAGGGAAUGAAAGGGAGGGUAGACUGAGAACGAAUCAUCUCAGUACAACUGGGAAUUUAGCCACAUAGGGGUUGGAUUCCACCGCAAGUAAAAAGUGGUGGAUGUGCCCAAGACACAGGGAAGAAAAAGAAGUAAACAGGGAAGUACAACACAGACUCUGAAAUGGGGCAUCAUGGAAGACGGAGCUUUGUCGUCUUGGUCUUUGCUGUAUAUUCACUUCCUACAACAGUGCUAAAUACCUUGUGGAUGCUUAAAUAUAUUAAAUGAAUGCAUAAAUGAAAAGAGUAAAUAAAGAGUGUAUAUGAAAGUAUGUAGAUAAAAUUCUUCACUAAGCCUUGGGGAUCCAGCUGCUUAAGGACUAAGACCGUAUCUAGCUCCUUUUAGUAUUUCCACAGCAUGCCAUGGAGAUACAUGUUUCUGAUUAUAUAUGAUACAUGGAAAUUAUAUGUUGUUGAAUGAGUGAUUGAGUAAAUGUGUACUAGGGCAGCUAAUCAUAAAUAUUUCUACUAUUGCUAAAAUGACUGGAUUUAUCCAUUCCUUCUGAGAGUUUAUACUGAUUGCUUAUAUUGUAUCAAAUACCGUAACUGAGGGCAAUGUUUACUCAAACUAAUAGCACCAUUCAAAUUUAUGCAAACAAUAACACUAUAUCUUUAAAAUGUUUUCACUAAAAGCUGCAUAAAGAGUGUAUUCAACAACAAUAGAAUAAUUUUACAAUCUUUUUUCUUGCUUAAUGGCCAUUUGUGCCUUCUGACAUGCUGCUAGCCAUUCAAAGGUCACACUACCUUGAAGUUGAAGAUCAAGACA
This 1075-nucleotide long non-coding RNA is filed under the name Homo sapiens (human). RNAcentral describes it as "HSALNT0402886". Lineage: Eukaryota; Metazoa; Chordata; Mammalia; Primates; Hominidae. The record is from RNAcentral.